This is a long non-coding RNA of Panicum virgatum (switchgrass), 1653 nucleotides long. RefSeq lists it as uncharacterized. The record is from RefSeq and is a predicted model, not a curated record. NCBI's taxonomy places the organism in Eukaryota, Viridiplantae, Streptophyta, Magnoliopsida, Poales, Poaceae. The transcript is spliced from 2 exons.
AAAAAACAACAGCAUUUCUGCAGAGUCAAACAGACCAACACAAGGCUGCCGCUCCUACAAGGACUAGAGAUUUGUAGAAUUUUGUUAUUCCAUUGAGCCAGCUUCCAAACAUAUUUGAAAUAUUGCGAGAUUUGGAGAGGCCCCAUGCUGAGUACACCGUAGCCCAAACCAUCAGUGUAAACUGACAGUCCAAAAACAGAUGUUGUAUCAUUUCAUUUUCAUGACAGAAACAACACUAUUGAUUGCCUUGCCAGUUUCGUUUCGCAAGAUUAUCCUUUGUGAGAAUUACACCGCGUUUAAGAUACCAAAGAGAAAUGUUAAUUUUGAGUGGAAUUUUCAGCUUCCAAAGACCUUUAUUUACAUUUGGAACAUUCUGAUUGAUUAGACCCCGAUAAUGUGAUUUCAUCGAAAAAACACCCGUCGAGUCUAGAUUCCACCUAAAAUCAUUGCUCUUCGUGAGUAAGGGCAACUGUUGCAAGACGUGAAACCAGGUUGUUCCACAUCACUAACUUGCAGCCUAUUGGAUCUCUACGCCAGGUUAGAUUGGGAUUCGAUGUAUUAAGCACCUCACCCACCGUAUCCUGUUUUUUCCUAACUUGUUAUAAAGUUGAGGGUAUUGAUGUCAUAGGGGUCUAUUGCCAAGCGAGGUAUCCUCCCAAAAUCUCACUUGUGACCCGUUUUUUAUGUGGAAUGUUCCAAAUUUAAGGAACUCACUCUUGACUUUCAUUAGACUUGCCUAGAAAUGAGAGUCUCCGUUCCUCCACUGGACUUGUACCAGGGGCUUAGGAUAACUCAUCAGGCUUUGUGAAAGAAUGCAGCCAUAUUCUAGUAUCUAGUAGUGUAGGUUUUCCUUUGUCAUUAAUCACUAAUUUUGCUUCGAAUUGACUAACUUGUUUUUUAUGGGAAGUACUAAAACAAAAUCUAAGUUGAUGCACAGUACCCUUCCAUACUUAAAUUAAAUAGGCUGAAGUGGCAACAUAUUAAUUAUUUAUACUUUUUUUUGCAGAACUUGCUUCAUGGAGUAAUACGUGGAGCAGCUUACUUCUGCUCAUGUGGUGACUGUGAUCAUAAUGGGAAGGCGCUCACUGCGAGAGCUUUUGAGCUGCAUGCAUUGAAGAAUGGAAAAGAGACGCACAACCCGAAUGACCAUAUUAUUCUUUGUUCCUCAAAUAUCUCGCUGUUUGAAGCAUGCCGGAAACUGAAAGAAGCGAGAAAUGAAACUAUACUGGAAGCUACAUUUGAUGCUAUCAUAAAAAGCCAUCACGAGGCGGUGCCAAAACAGAAUGUGGAAGCCCCUGUCGUUAACACAUCUGCUGAUAACUCCAAUAAUCUGAUUGACAUUGUUCGUAAUCUGGAGAAAAGGGUGGAGAGCACCGAGAAGAGGAUGGAAAACCUUCAGUCUCACGUGGACACAAUAGACAAGAAUAUAGAUUUUUUCUGCAAAGAAAUGGUCCGGUACCAUGAGCUAUUUCAAGAUUUAUCUAAGGUUUUGGGAAGAUUUGUUGAUGACAUGUGAAAUUGAGAAGAAGUAUACAAUGUGAUGGCCUGAGAACUUCAGUCUUGCUAGCACUGCUAGCAGGAGCAGUACCAAUAUUAAAAUGUUAUGGUUGUUGCUAUUGAUAAGUUAGACUUAAUUGGUAGACUUUACCUUAA